CACAAGGGCACGCAUGAAAUGUCUGGCCCACGGUAAACAAGUACGGACGCUGCAAAUAAUCUACUCUGCUCGUCCAGUCCCUAGCCUAUAAAUAGAUGCCAUGCUAGCUCUUGUUGUGCUCACAAUUAAUCCUGACUACACACGAGCUUCUCUCCCUGGCCAAGACACAAUCAUAGUAUGAUGAAGAACAUGGCACUAGCCGGCAAUGGUAUGAAGAACUUAAUCCUCGCUGUUCUCUUACUGUGUCUAGUUAUAGGGCAGAUACAAGUGGAAGCUAAGAGCUGCUGCCCAUCCAUUACUGCAAGAAAUAUCUACAAUGCCUGCCGUAUCACGGGUACAUCCCGUCCAACGUGUGCAAAACUGUCAGGCUGCAAAAUUAUCAGCGGGGACAAAUGCAAGCCCCCUAACGACCACCUCACCCUUGACCCGGACACUGGUAAAUAAUAAAUUUAUCUCACUUGAUUUCUUCGUGUUUUGAGUCGUUAAUGUAUUUUCCAUCUGAUGAAACGUAUUGGUUUUGCAUUGAAGAGGAAGUUAAUGUGCUUAACUUCUGCAAGUUGGGGUGUGCGUCGUCUGUGUGCAACAACAUCAACGCUGGUAAGCACCUUUUGCUCAGACGGAGAAAACAAUAAUCAUUAAUUAGCGGCAGCUAGAAUCCUAUAAUCUAAUAUAUUUAUAUAUAUAUAUAAUUUUAUCAGCUCUGGGAAAUGAAGAGGCGAACGAUGCCGUUGAGAGUUGCGACCAAGCCUGCUCUAGCUUCUGCAACGUGCACGUUGGCGCUGCCACCGUGGUUGCUUAAGCAAAUGCAUCCAACUGGAUCGUCCUUGUGCUAAAUAAUUGGAUAUCGUAUCCACUUAAAGCUGCCUUGUGUAGUACGUUUUUGUUUGUGUCUCUCUUUAUAUUCCAAUAAGGUCGGUGAUCUUGAU
RNAcentral lists this long non-coding RNA (926 nucleotides) under Setaria viridis. RNAcentral's name for it is "long non-coding RNA (SVIR_LNC007217)". The record is from RNAcentral. Lineage: Eukaryota; Viridiplantae; Streptophyta; Magnoliopsida; Poales; Poaceae.